RNAcentral lists this ribosomal RNA (502 nucleotides) under uncultured bacterium. RNAcentral's name for it is "partial 16S ribosomal RNA". It matches the Rfam family "Bacterial small subunit ribosomal RNA", at positions 30 to 523 of the family's 1533-position model. The record is from RNAcentral.
AUUGAACGCUGGCGGCAUGCCUUACACAUGCAAGUCGAACGGCAGCAUAGGAGCUUGCUCCUGAUGGCGAGUGGCGAACGGGUGAGUAAUAUAUCGGAACGUGCCCUAGAGUGGGGGAUAACUAGUCGAAAGACUAGCUAAUACCGCAUACGAUCUACGGAUGAAAGUGGGGGAUCGCAAGACCUCAUGCUCCUGGAGCGGCCGAUAUCUGAUUAGCUAGUUGGUGGGGUAAAAGCCCACCAAGGCGACGAUCAGUAGCUGGUCUGAGAGGACGAACAGCCAAACUGGGACGGAGACACGGCCCAGACUCCUACGGGAGGCAGCAGGGGGGAAUUUUGGACAAUGGGGGCAACCCUGAUCCAGCAAUGCCGCGUGAGUGAAGAAGGCCUUCGGGUUGUAAAGCUCUUUUGUCAGGGAAGAAACGGCUCUGGAUAAUACCUGGGACUAAUGACGGUACCUGAAGAAUAAGCACCGGCUAACUACGUGCCAGCCGCCGCAGUAA